This 800-nucleotide ribosomal RNA is filed under the name uncultured bacterium. RNAcentral describes it as "bacterial SSU rRNA". It matches the Rfam family "Bacterial small subunit ribosomal RNA", at positions 8 to 818 of the family's 1533-position model. The record is from RNAcentral.
AGAGUUUGAUCCUGGCUCAGGGUGAACGCUGGCGGUGUGCCUAAGACAUGCAAGUCGAACGGGAUUUGUGGUCUUCACUAAGGAGCUUCUCUUCUCUUUAGUGAAGAUCGCCAGUUCAGUGGCAAACGGGUGAGUAUAAGAUAGGAACGUACUUCGAAGCGGGACAUAGCCCACCGAAAGGUGGGGUAAUUUCCCAUAUGCCUACGGGUGAAAGACGCAAGUCACUACGAAAACGGCCUAUCUACUACCAGCUUGUUGGUAAGGUAACGGCUUACCAAGGCGAUGACGGUUACCGGCUCUUAGCGGAGAGUCCGGCACAAUGGGACUGAGACACGGCCCAUACACCUACGGGUGGCAGCAGUUAGGAAUUUUGCGCAAUGGACGAAAGUCUGACGCAGCGACACCGCGUGGAGGAUGAAGACCCUAGGGUUGUAAACUCCUUUUUAGCGGCCAUGAAGGCCACUAGAAUAAGUAGCCACUAACUACGUGCCAGCAGUCGCGGUAAUACGUAGGCUACAAGCGUUACUCGGAUUUAUUGGGCGUAAAGGGUCUGUAGACGGUUUUCUAAGUCUUGUUUCAAAGACCUCGACUUAAUCGAGGAAAGGGGCAAGAUACUGGAAGACUAGAGUGGCAUCGGGGUUACUGGAAUUUUUAGUGUAGGGGUUAAAUCCGUGGAUACUAAAAAGAACACCAAGCGCGAAGGCGGGUAACUAGGUAUUUACUGACGUUCAGAGACGAAAGCUAGGGUAGCAAAUCAGAUUAGAGACCUGAGUAGUCCUAGCCGUAAACAUUGUCCGUUA